CCUACGGGGGGCUGCAGUAGGGAAUCUUCGGCAAUGGACGAAAGUCUGACCGAGCAACGCCGCGUGAGUGAAGAAGGUUUUCGGAUCGUAAAACUCUGCUGUUAGAGAAGAACAAGGAUGAGAGUAACUGUUCAUCCCUUGACGGUAUCUAACCAGAAAGCCACGGCUAACUACGUGCCAGCAGCCGCGGUAAUACGUAGGUGGCAAGCGUUGUCCGGAUUUAUUGGGCGUAAAGCGAGCGCAGGCGGUUUCUUAAGUCUGAUGUGAAAGCCCCCGGCUCAACCGGGGAGGGUCAUUGGAAACUGGGAGACUUGAGUGCAGAAGAGGAGAGUGGAAUUCCAUGUGUAGCGGUGAAAUGCGUAGAUAUAUGGAGGAACACCAGUGGCGAAGGCGGCUCUCUGGUCUGUAACUGACGCUGAGGCUCGAAAGCGUGGGGAGCAAACAGGAUUAGAUACCCCAGUAGUC
This 465-nucleotide ribosomal RNA is filed under the name uncultured Enterococcus sp. RNAcentral describes it as "bacterial SSU rRNA". It matches the Rfam family "Bacterial small subunit ribosomal RNA", at positions 338 to 795 of the family's 1533-position model. Lineage: Bacteria; Bacillati; Bacillota; Bacilli; Lactobacillales; Enterococcaceae. The record is from RNAcentral.